Molecule: long non-coding RNA, 348 nt
Organism: Hyaena hyaena (striped hyena)
Lineage: Eukaryota; Metazoa; Chordata; Mammalia; Carnivora; Hyaenidae
Exons: 4
Source: RefSeq, a predicted model, not a curated record
UGUUUCAGGUUCAUCACCUGGUCUGCAGCCCAAGAAUGAUUUGAGGUUCCCUCAGCUACUUCUGUGCUCAGCUCCCGUCCAAAGUCAGGUUUGAAGGAGGAACAAGGUACAUGUAAUAGACAGGGAGACAGAAUCCCAAGCAGACCUCAUGCUGUCAGCACAGAGCCCAACUGAAGACUUGAACUCCAAACUUGAGAUGGUGUGAGCUGGAAUCCAGGGUCAAAUGCUUAAUGGACUGAGCCAACCAGGCACCUCUAAAAACUUGAGUCCAUGCCAAAAGGCCUGCCCUCGCCAGCCAUUGUCAAUUUAUGCUGCUGGUAUAAAUAUAACUUGAUUGGGAUAAUCCUG